UAUUAAAAGUUUUAUCUAUUUAUACUAUUAAAAACUAGCGCGGCUGGCGCAAUAAUUAGACAUUGAUACGUGACGUGCCACAUAUAUCUCAUACUAAUGUAUAGGGACUAGUUUUUAAUAACAAAUAAAUAAAAUUUUUAACA
Gossypium hirsutum (cotton) is the source of this 143-nucleotide non-coding RNA. The record is from Rfam. Lineage: Eukaryota; Viridiplantae; Streptophyta; Magnoliopsida; Malvales; Malvaceae.